This 1281-nucleotide long non-coding RNA is filed under the name Serinus canaria (Common canary). RNAcentral's name for it is "lncRNA (ENSSCAG00000015478.1)". The record is from RNAcentral. Lineage: Eukaryota; Metazoa; Chordata; Aves; Passeriformes; Fringillidae.
CUCCGCGGUUCCAGAAUUCCCUCCUCCUUCCCCAAAGAACAAUCUGCGGGGGACAGAGCCAAAACCUGGAAAAAUCAUUAAAAAAAAGAAAAAGAAAAAAAAGUAAACACUGCUGCCGAGCUGCCUGCUCCAUGCACUACGACGGGGCAGCGAUCUGGUUGGCAGUUGGGGGUUGCGAAAUACCAUUUCCCGAGGCUGUGAAGGUCCCGUCGGCAGUAACAGCUGUGGCGAGAAAAUCCGAAGAAGUGUCUCCGGCAGCUUCGGGACUCACACUGAGAUAGCAGCCACAGGACACCCACAUCUUUCAGAGAAAAAGAAUUUAUUGCUCUCUUAUCAGAAGAAACUAACUUCUUCCCACCUCACUCAGCCCUGAAGACACCAUUAGGAUUAAGAGGAAGAAGCUGACACUGACCAGACAGAAUCCUUUGUUUGAAUGGAAUUUAUGUAUAAUGUAUGAGAUGUAUGAAUAUGCAACAGGUUAUUGCUUUUAAGGGUUAAUCCUCUGUUAAUGGGUGUCCUUUUUCGGGCUUAUUUUGCCCAGAAAAAGGUACCCGGACUGUCCUAACUGUUUGUUUCUAUUGUCUCAUAUUGUCCUAAUCCUAAUUGUCCAAAUUUUUAUUACUCUAAUUAUAUUACUAUUUUUAUAAUCAUUUUAUUACUGUUAAACUUUUAAAAUUUUAAAACCAAGUGAUUGGCGUUUUUCACAAUUUCCACACGAUGAGUCUCUUGCCAGAAGCAUACAGAUUUAGUUUGGGACUACAAGCCAGGACCCUUUGAGCUAACUCAGUCAGUCUCCCCAUCCCCAGCUGCUGAAGUCUCCCUGCACCAGGUUGGCAUGAGGCCUUUAAGGCCUCUAAGACUCAAAAUUACUGUUGGAUAAAGUUGGAUUCCCAAAGGAGUGAAAAAGACUAGAUCUCAUUUUCUAAUAGAGCCAAGGCUUUAUUUUAAUUUGUCUUACUGUGUCCUUUUUCCAGAGUGAACAUUUGCAGUCAUGGCCUUGAUGCUGCCUAGAGCUGCUGUGAGCCUGUGGGCUAUGCCCUGGGUUUGUGGGAGACCAAGGGCAGAGAUUUCCUCAUUCCUUUGAAAUGGGCAUAGACUGUGCUGCUGUAUACAGUGGGGCCAGCUCUGUGCUCUCUGCUCCAGGGAGCUGGUGUCAGAGCCAGACCAUCUCAUAAUGUGAAGGGUUUGUCAAAUUGUCUGUACUUUGUACCUGUAUUUGUAUACUGGUGCUUUACUUGAUCACUGUAGUUUGGAGCCCAGAGAAGUGGUUUUGCCUGAAGC